GGGCGAAUAGCUCAGAUGGCAGAGCGCCUGCUUCACAUGUAGGAGGCCACAGGUUCAAGUCCUGUUUCGCCCA
This 73-nucleotide transfer RNA is filed under the name bacterium ADurb.Bin363. RNAcentral's name for it is "tRNA-Val". It matches the Rfam family "tRNA". Rfam says of the family: Transfer RNA (tRNA) molecules are approximately 80 nucleotides in length. Their secondary structure includes four short double-helical elements and three loops (D, anti-codon, and T loops). RNAcentral also lists the same sequence under 1 other name. The record is from RNAcentral.